Molecule: non-coding RNA, 490 nt
Organism: Pipistrellus kuhlii (Kuhl's pipistrelle)
Lineage: Eukaryota; Metazoa; Chordata; Mammalia; Chiroptera; Vespertilionidae
Source: the annotation of a RefSeq genome assembly
UUGCAUGGCAGCCCCUCCUCUGGCAGAGGGCAGGGGAGAAAAGGAGGCCUGGGCAGCCCAGCCCCACUGUGGGCUCAGGGCUGUGAGCACCAUGGCCUGGACUCCUCUGCUCCUGGCGCUCCUCUCUCACUGCACAGGGUCCCUCUCCCAGUUUGCUGUGACCCAGCCACCCUCCCUCUCUGCCUCUCCGGGAGCCACGGCCAGACUCACCUGCACCCUGAGUGGUAUUUCCUAUUCGUUUAGUGCUUAUGGGAUAUCCUGGUACCAGCAGAAGCCAGGGAGCCCUCCCCGGUAUCUCCUGGAAUAUAAAUCAGACUCCAGUAAGAACCAGGGCUCCGGAGUCCCCAGCCGCUUCUCUGGAUCCAAAGACGCCUCGGCCAAUGCGGGGCUCCUGACCAUCUCGGGGCUGCAGCCUGAGGACGAGGCUGACUAUUACUGUGUAACCUGAUGAAAAUCUGAUUCUCACAGUGACACACGCAGAUGGGGAAGU